This 433-nucleotide ribosomal RNA is filed under the name uncultured bacterium. RNAcentral's name for it is "partial 16S ribosomal RNA". It matches the Rfam family "Bacterial small subunit ribosomal RNA", at positions 29 to 507 of the family's 1533-position model. The record is from RNAcentral.
GCGAACGCUGGCGGCAGGCCUAACACAUGCAAGUCGAACGAACCUUUCGGGGUUAGUGGCGGACGGGUGAGUCACACGUGGGAACGUGCCUUUAGGUUCGGAAUAACUCAGGGAAACUUGUGCUAAUACCGAAUGUGCCCUUCGGGGGAAAGAUUUAUCGCCUUUAGAGCGGCCCGCGUCUGAUUAGCUAGUUGGUUGAGGUAAUGGCUCACCAAGGCGACGAUCAGUAGCUGGUCUGAGAGGAUGAUCAGCCACAUUGGGACUGAGACACGGCCCAAACUCCUACGGGAAGCAGCAGUGGGGAAUCUUGCGCAAUGGGCGAAAGCCUGACGCAGCCAUGCCGCGUGAAUGAUGAAGGUCUUAGGAUUGUAAAAUUCUUUCACCGGGGACGAUAAUGACGGUACCCGGAGAAGAAGCCCCGGCUAACUUCGUG